Molecule: ribosomal RNA, 483 nt
Filed under: uncultured bacterium
Lineage: Bacteria
Description: partial 16S ribosomal RNA
Rfam family: Bacterial small subunit ribosomal RNA
Source: RNAcentral
UUGAACGCUGGCGGCAGGCCUAACACAUGCAAGUCGCGCGGAUGAAGGGAGCUUGCUCCUGGAUUCAGCGGCGGACGGGUGAGUAAUGCCUAGGAAUCUGCCUGGUAGUGGGGGAUAACGUCCGGAAACGGGCGCUAAUACCGCAUACGUCCUGAGGGAGAAAGUGGGGGAUCUUCGGACCUCACGCUAUCAGAUGAGCCUAGGUCGGAUUAGCUAGUUGGCGGGGUAAAGGCCUACCAAGGCGACGAUCCGUAACUGGUCUGAGAGGAUGAUCAGUCACACUGGAACUGAGACACGGUCCAGACUCCUACGGGAGGCAGCAGUGGGGAAUAUUGGACAAUGGGCGAAAGCCUGAUCCAGCCAUGCCGCGUGUGUGAAGAAGGUCUUCGGAUUGUAAAGCACUUUAAGUUGGGAGGAAGGGCAGUAAGUUAAUACCUUGCUGUUUUGACGUUACCAACAGAAUAAGCACCGGCUAACUUCGUG